This 416-nucleotide ribosomal RNA is filed under the name uncultured bacterium. Its description in RNAcentral is "bacterial SSU rRNA". It matches the Rfam family "Bacterial small subunit ribosomal RNA", at positions 32 to 440 of the family's 1533-position model. The record is from RNAcentral.
AAUCAACGCUGGCGGCGUGCCUAACACAUGCAAGUCGAGCGAGAAAGGGGUAGCAAUACCCUGAGUACAGCGGCGCACGGGUGAGUAACACGUGGGUAAUCUGCCCUGGAGUGGGGAAUAACACCGGGAAACCGGUGCUAAUACCGCAUACGAUUACGAGGUCUGCGGAUCAUGUAAUUAAAGGAGCAAUUCGCUUCAGGAGGAGCCCGCGGCUGAUUAGCUAGNGGUGAGGUAAUGGCUCACCAAGGCUACGAUCAGUAUCCGGUCUGAGAGGACGGUCGGACACACUGGAACUGAGACACGGUCCAGACUCCUACGGGAGGCAGCAGUGGGGAAUUUUUGGCAAUGGGGGCGAACCCUGACCAAGCAACGCCGCGUGGAUGAUGAAGUAUCUUGGUACGUAAAAUCCUUUCGAC